GGCAGGGCACAAUAUUAUUUUGUCCUAUUGCUGGUACUGUUCACUUUAGUCCCUUCAAUAAGGUGGUAUCUGCCUAUGCUGUUCCCUGUGAAGUUAUUCUUUUCCCCUUUGCAGUGGAUAAGUAUUUUUUUCCCCAUGGGAAGAUAUUUUAAGACUAUGUAAGAUCCCCUUUCUUAUCUGGAAUCUAAUAUAUGACACAAAUGAAACUUUCCAUCGAAAAGAAACUCAUGGACUUGGAGAACAGACUUGUGGUGGCCAAAGGGGAUGGGGAGGCAUAGGUCCUUGUUACUUAUUUAUUUAUAUAUAGUAGUGUGUAUAUGUUAAUUCCCACUUCCUAAUUUAUCUCUCCUCCUCACAUUUCCCCUUUGGCAACCAUAAAGUUGAUUUCUAUGUCUAUUUCUGUUUUGUAAGUAAGUUCAUUUGCAUCAUUUUCUCAGAUUCCACAUGUAAGUGAUAGCAUAUGGUAUUUGUCCUUUUCUGGCUUACUUCACUUAGUAUGAUCAUCUCUAGAUCCAUCCGUGUUGCUGCAAAUGGCAUGAUCAUGAUUUUUUAUUUUACUUUAUUUUUAAAGACUUUUUUAUUAUUUUUUUUAACAGAACAGUUUUAAGUCCAGCGCAAAAUUGAGAGGGAAGUACAGAGAUAAUGUCUCCUCCACUAUCACCACCCCUACCUGAGUGUACAUUUCUUACAACUCUAUUUAAUCGAUUAUAAUCUGUUACUUUGUAUUUAUUAUGACCUUCAAAUUAUCCUGGACUUGGCCAGUGGGAGCCGUUCACUUUGGCUUUUGACAAGUCCCCAUCAUUUUUUGAAUAUUUCCUCACUUUCAGAUAUGUAGAAUAUUCUAAGCUCAUCUUGUACUUUUUCGUCCUCAGCCUUGGAACCAGCUAUUUUUUCAAAAAGAUCCUGUUUCCAGUGGAUAAAGAUCUUUAGAAAGGAAAGUCUGGGUGCGAGGUACAUAUUUCUUUUGCCCUUAUUGUAUCCUCUUAGUGGACAGAGCUGGCACUGCAUAGACAGACAGAUACACACACACACACCCUAUAUUUCUCUAUCACAUAGCUAAUUUGUUCAGCACAGUUUACACUGAAUCCUUCAACUCUAAUCAGCACCUAGGAUUUCUUUCUAAACUGGUAACUCCAUUCUCCAGCAGUGAAAAAACCUGCACAAUUACCCCUAACAUGCUUAAUGAUUAAUCAGCAUGUAGGCAACUCACUUCCUUACUGAUCCUGCCCCUUUCCUCAGGGGUAUUAUCCUCACUCUAUUCAGGUUGUAAGUAACCCCCAUCCCCAGCUGCUGCCGUGGCCCCCUCCCCCAUAUGGGCACCCUCUUUUCUGCGGUGGGGCUCUUAACACCUCUGCCCGCCCUGCGCUGGGCCUCUCUCCCACCAGAAACCUUCCUCAUCCCCCAUGAUGGCGAAUCCCCCCACACCUAGACCUCCUCCUCAUCCAACCUGGGCUCCACUUCCCUGCACCAGGCCACCUGCCCCCCAUAACGCCCUCCUCAUUGUACUUUGGCUCUGACCCCCUGCACCAGGCACCCUCCUUAGCUCUGACACCCUGCCCUGCCCCAUGACUCGGAGAAAAGGCUUGGGCUCUGACACAGACACUGAGGGCCAGGCUGCCCCCGCACGGAUGUCUUCUUACCUCGCUAGAGAGCUGAUAUCCCACCACAACGGUCUUCCUGGGUGGACGUGCAUCUCACCUUCAUCGUGCUCCUAAACCUCACUCAGGGGGCCCAGGGACUCCCCUGUGCCCAGGUGGAUCCCUACCAGGCUCUGCCACACCUGAUUGUCCAGGAAAGUAAGUGCAGGGAAGAGAAGAGAGCUGUUGGUUUACUAGUAACUAGGGAUUUCUAAUAUUUGGUCUUUAGUUACCCCUGUAUUUUAAUGUCUGGCCCUUUCGUUUUUCUGUGAUAAGAAUCUAUGGACCUAGCAUUUUAGGAGACAGAAGUGACCUGGAAUAGUUUUAUUCUUGUUAGACAGUAACUUCUGCUGACUUUCUCUUGAUCAGAUUGGAGUUAACACAGAACCUUCUCAGUCUGGCCCCAACCUAUGUCUCUUGCCUCCUCUCCACAUCCUUUGUGCCCUGUGACUCAGCACUUCAGCUCCUCUGAACUUCUUGCCCCGAAGCAAAUCUGUUCUCUCACACACUUGCAUCUGGUUUUUCUUCUUCCCAGCAUGCCCCCACCUCCUUUUCUACCUGGAAAGCUCUGACUCAUUCUUUAAGAUGCAGAUUAAAUGUCAUCAGUGAAAUCUUUCCCAACUCCCUGAGGACAGAAGGUGUUUCCUGCCUCUGGAGGGAGUAUUUGGAGCUCAGAUUGUUAAACUGCCUCCCACUGGCUGUGUAACUUUGGACAAAUUGCUUAUCCUCAAUGAAUCUCCGUUUCUUCUUCUCUGAAGUGAGGGUGAUAAGGUAAUUCUAUCAACCUCAUAAAAUUGUUAUAAAGGAAAAUUUUGAUAAUGGAUCACCCAACACAAAUUGUCAUAUGCUUAUUAUUACUAUUGUAAUAUUACCUGAUUAAACUCCCACAAAAGAUCCUGUGUUCUUUCUUAGAUAUGGUCCCAGAACUUAAUCCAACAUUCGAAACAUAAUUUGAUAAAGAUUUUCUGAAGAAGUUUAUUCGGUCUGUAAAUAUUUUUAAGUGUACUCAGUGCCAGUCAUGCAUUAGGCAAUAUUAUGACCAAAGCAGAGAUGCCCUCUGACCUUGUGGGAUUCAUAGCCUAGUGGGAAGUUGAGAAUUUAGCAAAUAAUUACGCAAAUGAAUACAUAAAUACAAAUUGUGAUAAGCCUUAAGAAAGCCAGUAAUUGUAAGAUCAAAAAGAGAACGAGAAGGUGCUAAUUUAGAGUAGGAGGCAGAAUAGCAUUUCUGAAAAAGUGGUGUUUGCCAGAGAUUGCAAGGCUGAGUAGAAUUAAACAGUAUGAGGGGAGGUGUGAGGCAAGAAAGGACUUGGCUCCAUUAAGCCAGGUUUCAGGAUUCAGGGAAUGGGGCAAUGGAGAGGAGAAGUAGGAGAUGCGAUUGAGGAGGUAGUCUGGGCCUGUGUCAUGUUGAAUUUAAGAAAUAUUAUGGAUGACAAAACCCGCAAAGGAAAGCCAUUGACUUUUUUCGUCAGAGAUGGGGCCUGAUCUUGGUGUCUCCCACAAUGCUCUGGGGAGAACCUAGGGCAGGGGCACCAGGAACCUGGAGCAUCCUCAGGGAGACGUGGACCAGGUGGGGGGCCAUGGAGACAGAAGGGUGAGGGGGAAACGCUGCGGGAGGUGGAAUAGGCAGGCCUGGGGAUGGUUUAGAUGCCAAUGUGUGGCACGAGUGACUUUCUGAGCAAGAGCAGAGGGGUAGAUGCUCAGAUGAUGGACAAUGGAGGAGGAACCGUUUUUCUAGAGAGGAUGAAAAGUUCAGUUUUGGACAUGGAAGGUACAUUUGAGGUGACUGCAAAGAUGUCUAAGGGCAAGUGUCAGUACACUGUUGAUUGUCUAAGUCUGGAGGCCAGAAAAAGGUUCUGAGCUCAAGGUAUAAAUUUAGGAGUUGUUAGCAUACAAAUGAAAUCCUCAUUCCCUCUCUCUGUCCUCUCAUUAUUAUUUGUAAAAGUUUAUUUUUCUGAAGUGUUGUUGGUUUACAAUGUUCUGGUAAUUUCUGCUGUGCAACAAAGUGUUUCCAAUUUGUGUACACACACACACACACACACACACACACACAUAUUCUUUUUCAUAUCCUUUUCCAUUAUGGUUUAUCACAGUAUAUUGAACACAGUUCUCUGUGCUAUACAAUUGGAUCUUAUUUAUCCAUCCUGUAUAUAAUAGUUUGCAUCUGCUGAUCCCAAACUCCCAAUCUAUCCCUCCCUCCCCCUUGGCAACCACAAGUCUGUGCUCUAUGUGAGUCUAUUUCUGUUUCAUAGAUAAGUUCAUUUGUGCCAUAUUUUGGAUUCCACAUAUAAGUGAUAGCAUAUGGUAUUUGUCCUUCUCUUUCUGACUUACUUAGUAUGAUGAUCUCUAGGUCCAUCCAUGUUGCUGCAAAUGGCAUUGUUUCAUUCUUUUCGGUUGCUCUCUCAUUUUUGGGAAAACUGUUGACCUUAUUUGCUAGAAUCUUUCUGGACAGUUGCCAAGCUAAAUAUAAGUCACAGAUGAGCUAUAUUUGUGGAAUGCUAGAGGCCUUCUCAGUUCUGCUAUAACAAGAUAUAUACAUUCCUCAAAAUGGAAGUACUAUGAAAAUUGUGUGAUGAAAAACACAGAGUUUAUUGGAGAAGUGGGUCAUAACACUCAAAAAUUUCAUCAGUUUCCAUCAUCAAAAACUUCGUAUAUAUAAGAACCUAAUAAAAAUGGUAGCAUAGUUUUACAUGUUAGAUGAUUGAGAAAUAUGUUAAGUACUACAAUAAACAUGGCAGUUAGUCUUGAGAAGGAUCUGAAGUUUGUGGAAAUGGGCAUCAGAAGGGCUACAACUUGUGAGUUGUUGUGAAGUAUGAAAGGACCAUAUCUGAAGUCAGAUGGAAAGUUCGAGUCAUAUCAUAUGACUCAACAUUAAAUCCUGGGACAUGUUUUUCUGCCUUUGAGAUGUAGGUCCUUCUAGGCAUACAAUAUAAUAGAUACUUGUUUCUUAAAAAAUAAAAAAAAAAUUGCCUAAAAUAUAGUCUUUUUCUUCAAUUAACUUCAGUAUCACUGCUGGAAAUUUUGUGUGCCGUUUUUUGUUCAUACUUAUGGCUUCAUCAAACAAUUGAAGGCUUUGGAAAUUUUAGCCAAGUUUAAAACCACUGACCAUGCCACUGUGAUUUAAAAGCUGUAAUCUAAACGAGGUCACUUUCGGGUGCAGGGAUUUCUGUGGAAGGUCUUUGUGGUGUGUAGUUCUUUCUCUGUGAUCAUCAGAAAGAUUGCAAUUUUCUUCUAUUUGGUCUUCAUUCCUUAUGCUUAAAAAUCUUUCUAUUUUUCUGCUUCUUUAGGUCUUAUUCUUACUGAUUUUUUAGCAUUUGAAAUAUUUCAACCAUAAACCUUCUAUUUCCCAGUGUUGUCUCUAUUGCUCAAGAAAUAUCACCCAUUCCCUUGUUUCUUUCAAAAUAUUUUAUCCUUUUGAGCUUCUCUUCAAUCCUCAAAGCUUUCCUUUUACAUGCAUAGGUUAGAAUUUGAACCAUAUAGACAUAUCAAAGAUGAUGAAUGUAUUUUUAAAGAACCAAGUUUACAAAUGCAAAAGAAUAGUGAUAAACCUUGCAAUUUAAUGUGUGCAUUAACACAGAGAGUUAGUAAGUGUUCAAAGUGUGUGCGUGAAUAUGUUUAUGCAUUUGGACUCAUCUCAGUUCAGCUGGGUGCAAUUUUUUUUUACCUUCAUGUAGUUUUUCCUGCUGAUAAAAUCAUGCAUAAGUAAGGGUGAAAUUUGCAUUAUACUCAACUCUUCUCUAAUAUAUCAAUUACUUCGGAACACAUUUGCGUUUUCAAAACAAGCAUUAUAGAAGAACUGACGGUAUUUACUUUCCUCUUAUGCUCAAAUUUUCCCAAUAGAAUAUACAAGUUUUGGAAAAUAGAAGUACUUGUAAUAGACCAGGAAACAAAUUUUACUUCUGAAAAUUUGUAGUGAGAUGGAAAAUGUUAGUGAAAUACGCAGUAAGUGGAUUAACUGUAUGAUUUAUACUCUAGAUCUUGAGUGACUUUUUGGGGAGGAGGGGUGUGUAGGUGCAGCAUAUGGAAAUUCCCAGGGUAGGAAUUGAAUCAGAGCUACAGCUGCUGGCCUACACCACAGCUACAGCAAUGUCAGAUCCCAGUCUCUGCUCGAGGCAACACUGGAUCUUUAACCCACUGAGCCACUGAGGAGGCCAGGGAUUGAACCCACAUCCUCACAGGUACUAGUUGGGUUUGUGCCUGCUGAGCUACAAUAGGAACUCUCGAGUGACAUUUUUUUAACCUCAAUUUUGCAAUAAUUUAAUUGGACUUGACAAGAAAUGACAGUUUUUCAUUUAUAAGUGUAUCACAGAAAAUUUUCUUUCUUCUCUUCCUUAUUUUCUUCCUUUUUCUAUCUGUUUAUCUAUUCAUCUGUUUGCCUUGUGUUAAUUCAAUCCAAACAGAGGUGCAUAUGUGGCAAAUACAAGAACUCCAGAAGAGAAUUUGAGAUCAUUUUAAAUUUAGAAAAUCCCAAUUUUAGCUGCAAUAGGAAUGAACUAUACAUGGAAUUUAAAAGAAACUCUAUUAACCUUUACAUCAACUUUAUUUUGCACAUAUUUCUAUAAAGGAUCUGGUAUUUUAAUUUUGCACUCUGUGACAAAUAAAAACUGGUUGCUCUGCUGAUAAAUUAUAUUUUGUUUGAAAACUACUAAAAUUAGAAUUCUUAACAGCUGAUUGUAAGAAACUCACAACUCAUUUUUAGAAAAAUUGUAGAUUAUUUAUUUCCACCAUAAAAUGAGUCCAAGUUUAGUAAAACUGAAAGUUAAAUUCAAAAUCUCUCUCUCUCACACACACAUACUCCAGACUAAUGGGAAAUUACUGUUUAUUAUGCAUUUUCCUUGGUACAAAAAUUCUGCUAGGUACUUUUACAUGUUUUCUCUAAUCUUCACCAUAAGGCGAUAGGAAUAAACUUAAAAAAUUAGAAAUAAUGCACAUUGACCUAUAAUCUUUACAUUUAAGAAACUAAAUUCCAAAACCCCCCAGGAAUUCAAAAAGUUGAAAGGUACGGUACUUGUAUAGGGAAGAUAUUUUUUCUUUGCCAUGGCUGAGUUUGUUAGAUUCUUUACCAUGCUAUAUGUGCCUUGACAUGGGUUAAAAAUGAGUAAAAAAGAAAAAGAAAAAAAAAA
RNAcentral lists this long non-coding RNA (6757 nucleotides) under Sus scrofa (pig). RNAcentral's name for it is "lncRNA (ENSSSCG00065018019.1)". Lineage: Eukaryota; Metazoa; Chordata; Mammalia; Artiodactyla; Suidae. The record is from RNAcentral.